CUUGUCAAGCGUCAGAGUUACGGCGACGCCGAGUGUUCAGAUUGUUCGGGAUGGCGGUGUCCUCCUGUAGCCUUUUGGACCCAGAACAAGAGCAAAUGAAGCUCUCUUUUUAUAAACAAGUCGCUGGAAAUAUUUUAAAGUCAGCCAGAGACGGUCUUUAGCUCAAUCAGCCUCCUUGUUACAGCCAGUUGGAGCAUGCAGAGGACGGAAAGCUCUCCUGCUACUACAGUCACAGCCGGCUGAGAGGUAGACACUCGGGAAAAAGGGACAUAAGAGAAGCUUGAAGUGUAUAAGGAAGAGACAAUGGUGAGACGAGAACAUCACAGGAGGACUAUAACACAAUGGGCUGCAAGACAAUGAUCUGUCAUUGACACUAAAUUGGAUGACCCACAGCUGCAUCGCUGCCUGAACAAAGAAUCAAAUAGAUCAGCGAUUUCUAAACGUGGGUGCUUGUACCCUGGGGUAUACUUAUUCACUUAUGAGAGGUUUUUCUGAG
Acanthopagrus latus (yellowfin seabream) is the source of this 496-nucleotide long non-coding RNA. RefSeq lists it as uncharacterized. The transcript is spliced from 4 exons. NCBI's taxonomy places the organism in Eukaryota, Metazoa, Chordata, Actinopteri, Spariformes, Sparidae. The record is from RefSeq and is a predicted model, not a curated record.